This 403-nucleotide ribosomal RNA is filed under the name uncultured bacterium. RNAcentral's name for it is "partial 16S ribosomal RNA". It matches the Rfam family "Bacterial small subunit ribosomal RNA", at positions 28 to 526 of the family's 1533-position model. The record is from RNAcentral.
GACGAACGCUGGCGGCGUGCCUAAUACAUGCAAGUCGAACGCAGUGGGGACGGGUGAGUAACACGUGGGUAACCGCCCAUAAGAGGGGAGAACACUUGGAAACAGGUGCUAAACCGAUACUGAUUGAUGUACCCGCGUUGCAUUAACGAGUUGGUGAGGUAACGGCUCACCAAGGCCACGAUGCAUAGCCGACCUGAGAGGGGGAUCGGCCACACUGGGACUGAGACACGGCCCAGACUCCUACGGGAGGCAGCAGUAGGGAAUCUUCGGCAAUGGACGAAAGUCUGACCGAGCAACGCCGCGUGAGUGAAGAAGGUUUUCGGAUCGUAAAACUCUGUUGUUAGAGAAGCGGUAUCUAACCAGAAAGCCACGGCUAACUACGUGCCAGCAGCCGCGGUAAUUC